AAGUGGGCUUAGCCUCUCUUCCUCCGAGCGAAACACCCAGAACCAACCACUCUCACCGCCUGCGUUUCUUCCUCCCGGCCAGCCGCCGCGUCGACAUUCGAGCUCGGCCUGAGAUGCCGCCGGCGAAGCAGGUCGCCACCGCAGCCUUAGCCAGCCGCGUGCACCACCGCCCUCCACCGAGAUCUCGCCCCUUUUCGCGUGUGAGAGGAGAACGCACACCUUCCACCUUGCGUUCUUGCCACCGUUGCCUCCACCUAAGACGGCCGUCGCGAGUUGCGGCGGAGGUGCUUCCUCACCGGCGCCACCAGCGCCGUUCUCCUCCCUCUCCAUUCGAGGGUUUUCUUUCCUUUCCCUUAAACGCCAGCGCCUCCAGCAGCACCACCGCCGAUGUCGGGGACGAAAAUGAUUUUUUUUGCUUUAUUGGUUAAUUCAUCUAUCAAUUGAUGUUUUGUUUACUGGGAUUGGAAACAUUGGAGUGUGUGUUGGGUGCUAGAAGUUGGUCUUUGUUCUUGGUGAUUAGUUUUUAUUUCUGUUGCUUUGUGCAGUGCAUGUUGAGAAUGGUGGUGUUAUGCUUGAGCUGGGAUGGAGAUUCUAAUGAGGAUGAAGAUACUGGUUAUAUUUUUUUGUUGUGUUUUCCUGAUAAGUAUCUAGCUUAACAGCAAAGGGGAUGGUGAUGAUGGGUAAGAAAGUAGGCUACUAUAGUGGCCGGAGAUGAUGGUGAGUGAGAACGAAGAGCAGAUAAGACAAGCAAGGCAAUAGGAAGCAUAAAACUCAUACACGGGGGCAGAGCAAUAGAAAGCAUAAAACGCAAUAGCAAGCAUGGAUUGCAGUCCAUAAUACAGCAAACUUACUCCAUUAUACAUCCUAACAUGAACGAGUAAAUGAGUGAAGGAGUUGCUUACCUGAGUUUCUGUGCUAUUGCUGAUGAUCUCCUCUCUUUUCUUGGCCGGCCUCCCUUUUGUUUCUUUCUUUUCUUGUAAAUUGAGUACGCCUCCUCCAGGAAUGGAAUGGAUGAUGAAGGUGACUCUUGAUGGAAGCAAAGGCUAGAGUGUGAACUGGUACGGUGGCUCUCAAAUGUUAAUGGAGGAUGCAGAUGGUUCAAAGGAUGAGAAUGCAGAUGUUGUUGAAUGGAGAAUGCAGAUGUGGAAUGUUGUUGAAGGAUUUUUUAAUGUUGUAUAACAGAUGGAUGAAGCCAAAGAAUGGCUAUUCGCGGAGGUAAAUGAGAAGAAGAUAUUCUGUAUUUUUUUUUUGUCGUGAGAACUUGGCUUAGUGAUGAGAAAUGGGAUUUAUUCGAGGUCGAGUGAAUAGAGGAAUAGUGUGAGAGUAAUGCUUCUCUGAGUGAAAAAAUGGUUUCUGUUAAACAUCCCCCGGUUGGGGAAAAAAUGGUUCCUCCUUUUGUUGUUUUGGUUCCUGCACCUUGCGUGAGGAGGCUAAAGCCUGACACUCCAUUGCUUCCUGCUCCAGCCAUCCCUGGUGCUUGUGCAUUCCUUUUUCUUCUUAAGGCAAUUAGCUAAAAUAAUUUAGGCUUGAAGCCACUGAGCUAAAGAUUUCCACCCAAAAUUGGGUGACGCAC
RNAcentral lists this long non-coding RNA (1573 nucleotides) under Vigna radiata. RNAcentral describes it as "long non-coding RNA (VRAD_LNC010300)". Lineage: Eukaryota; Viridiplantae; Streptophyta; Magnoliopsida; Fabales; Fabaceae. The record is from RNAcentral.